AUGGUAUGGUACGAAUACCAUCAUACCAUGGUAUACAUGAAUGGUACCAUGGUAUGGUAUGAUGGUAUGGUACAAAUUCCUAUACCAUGGUAUACAUGAAUGGUACCAUGGUAUGGUAUGAUGGUAUGGUACAAAUUACUAUACCAUGGUACAAAUUAUUAUGCUAUGGUAUGAAGCAUGGUAUGGUUUUUCAAAAGAGGAAAUUUUGAAAAGUUAAUAAACCUAUUCUUAAACAGGAUUUUAUUAAAUAUCUGUUUUCUUUCUUUCUUUUUUUACCUUUUCCAAAACAAACUUUUUUUUCAAUGAGAAACAGGAACAAGAAUUUUGGUUGAAAAACAAUGUAAACAAAAUAUUCAUUGGUUCAAUUUUAAAAUCUAUGAUCAUUUCAAAAAACAUUAUCAAUGCUAAUGAGCAUAUAUAUAUGUAUAUGCUUGGGGGUUUGGAUGACUUUUAAAUAAAACAGGGAUUUAGCUGGUUGAGGAGUGGCCACUCCUGUUAACUUUGGGAUAAACUAUAGAUAGGAGACAGUAAUGAACUUACAUUGGUUAGAGGUAUAGGGCGAGGGUUGAGAUCUCACAAAACAUGCUUAACACUGCCACAUUUGUUGCACCUGUACCAAGUCUGGAACCUGUUCUCUAGUCUUGUUUUUAAAAAAAUUUGGUUCAUUUAUAUGUUUUGGAGUGUAUUGUCACGUUUAUUUUAUAUGAACUAGUACACAUUUUUGUUCAGAAAACGGCCAUAUAACUUCUAACCCCACCCC
RNAcentral lists this long non-coding RNA (760 nucleotides) under Mytilus galloprovincialis (Mediterranean mussel). The record is from RNAcentral. Lineage: Eukaryota; Metazoa; Mollusca; Bivalvia; Mytilida; Mytilidae.